CUUCAAACAUGUAUAAUGUUCAAGAAGUUUGACAAGGACUUGGCUUAUUUUGUGAUCUAAACAAGUACUCAUUUUAUACUGCUUUCCUUGAUAUCCCAAUUUUUUAUAGAGAAAAAGAUAAAGUAUAUUCUUGUGAGUAGCAGCCAUAAAAAAAUGCUGAUUAAAAAAAUGCCAAUCCUCCUGAGUUUGUUUGCUAAUACAUAUUUUUAUUGCUCAUUUCUAUAAAUUAUAAGCCCUCUUUUCACCACACAGCAAAUAUGUAAUUAUGAAAAUGUCAUUGUACAAGGUAUGAUAAUCUGCAGCUUUGGUUUAUUUUAGAUCAAACUAGAUCCUAGCUCAAACUUUUAUGAAAUCACUUUACCCAUUUCUGAAAGAGGUACUUAUUUUGAUACAACAAAACAUCUUUUACAUUACUACAUAAUGCUUUAUGCAUUAUCAACAGAGAAAUUCAACAAAGUUGAAAUUUCUAUUAGCCUUAACCCAUCUUACGGGGUAUUUUGGUUUCAGAAUUUUUAACACUUUUCAGGAAUUAUGCUCAAAAAUAGCCCUCAUUUGUGUGUGUGUGCCUCAUUACUUUAGAAAAUUUUUUUACCACACUUACAUUGCACAUGAUUUUAAGAUAAAAGGUGUUUAAAAACUACAUAAACUAAAUAUUUUGCUUGGUUGCUGAAUAUUCCCAUCUUUGCCACAAUUUGCAAAUAUUUCUGAAAAUUUUAUUGCAUUAUUCCUUUAUUAUAUAGGGCUUUAUUUCCCUUCUUUGCUUAUAAGGAGUGAAAAAUGUCAAUUCAUUCAAAAUAUACAUAUCUCUGCCAAUACUCCUAAAGUCAUACAAGAACUAAACACAUAAAGCAAGGGAAAUAGUCAGUGAAAUAUGCAUUUAUGACUUUCACGUUUUGGAUUGUAAUUCUUUCUGCUGGGGCAAUUUGAAACAGGCAUUUUGCAUAUAGCAUCUCAAUAAAAUUAUCACAUUUUGAGGUAGAUGUUACAUUCAUUUUAAUGUCGAGCAAACUAAGGCAGAGAGAGAUUAAUUAAAAAAAAUUAAACCAAAAGUUUUAAAAUUAAACCAAAGUUACAGUUAAGUAGCAGUAGGGCCAAUCUGACUCCUUCCUAUUUUUCAAUUCCUACUGUCUCCUAAAGAUGUUUUCUUUCUUUCACUAUGAGAAAGUGAAGUAAAGGCGAUAGAAAUACUUUUCAUAUACCUACCUAUUCUCACCAAGUUUACUCUCAUAUUUCUGAGUCAUCGGGGAAGAUUUUAAUAUUCACAACUAUAUCAACUACCUUUAAACAAAAGUUAGAAGUCCUGAGGUUUUCAAAACCCAGGACUAGAAAAAUCGCAAACCUAUUUUCCUUGGCACCUUGUUUCGUAAUAUAUGCUAUAUAUUUGAAACUUUCAGAAUAUGCCACAAAUAAAAACUAACUCACGACUUUUUUUCUAGCUCUAACAAAAACUCUUCCCACAAUUUUUUUUCUUGAAUGUUUUCUGUCAUUUAACCACUCUCUCACAUCCAUGAUUUUUAUCAAGUACAAUGGUAUUCUUUUCACUGCUUAGUGUUAUCCAUUAACAAAAUGCGAUAAAGUAAUUUUAAUUACAUCACAAUUUUUUUUUUGCCAUUGAAAUCACAAUUGAGACUUAAAUCACUUUGUUUUGGGGCUUUUGAUAUACAAACAAUUCAUAAUUUCUUAAAAAUUCUUAAACAUAAGUCAAAACAAGUACACAGCUACUAUGUUCUAAUGUCAAGUCUAAAAUGUAAAAAGAAAUAACGAAAUAAUGUUUAGACUUCUAAACUUUAGAUUAUUUAAAACCGCCACUGUUACAUAAAGCGAAAAUGAUAGUUUACAAGACAUAACGAAAUUCGGAUAUUAAAAUACGCAAAAUAUACACAGGUCCAUUUCUUAAGGGAACGUGGAAAAUUUAACACACUUCAAAUAAUGGUCGUGGGAUGUUUUUCGCUUAUUUUUAAUGCACCAGAUUUAUUUACCAAUUCAAAGGAUCUCUUAUGGGGAGAUACUUAAAACAUCCCCGGCGGUAAACAAAUCAAAUAUAUUAGAUGUAUAAGGACCAGAGCCGGGGCAGAUGCGAGUUCCUAAGUUAUAAAUACUACCUUUUCAAUAAAAAGGUGGUAUUAUAUAGGAUCUCCAAGGAAUAUCGACGUAUAAAAAAAAAUACUGAGAAUGCUGACCACCAAAGAGAUAACAGGUGAAGGCUUUAGGGGACUGAAGAAUGAGCAACAAACCCAACCAACUCAAAAUGCAUUAUUCAUCCUCCAAAGAACCGAAACAGAGGAAAAAAUACAACAGGUCCUCGCAACACCGAGAGAAGUUUAAGCCUUAGGAGGUGGGGACCAGCACCCCUUCCUCGCUGUUUCAAAACUCCGUUGCUAAGCCUCCCUCCGCGGAAACCAGCAGGCGCAGGAAGCAGGUGCUCCGUCCACUUGGGGCCUCCACAGGGCCCGCAUCCUUCUCGGCCUCGGCGCGCAGCACGCGAAGCGCCCCCGGAAGUGCCAGGGGCGGGCGGGGGCGGGCGCUAGCUGGGGAGCCGCGCGCGGAGUGGGAGGGGCGGCGCGCGGAGUGGGAGGGGCCGCACGAGGCCACGCCCCUCCCGGCUGCGUCCGCGGGCUACAGCCAGGGCUCUGGGGGUUCCGGGGUCACGGCUCGGAUCCCCGAGCCAGGUUCGUGCGGAGCCGGCUCCUCCUUGUCCCCGCGCGGACGCGGCCCCCGCUGCUCCAGGUGCAGCUGCAGCAGGGCGCGGCGGUACAUGGCCUCCAGCUUCUCCAGCCGGGCUCGCAGGGCCCGCGGGCUGCCCGGCUCGUCCCCGGGGCCGCCGCCUCUAGCCCUGCGGUUCCUGCCGGCCUCCUCGGAGCCCGGGGUCGCCCUGGCCGCCUCCGCGGGCGCCCCGUCGGCGCCCUCGCCGGGGAGCCGCAAGGCCUGACGGAAGAGGCUGCGGUUCUCGCGCUUCAGCCGCCGGUUCUCGAGCCGCAGCCGGGCGUUCUCCUCGCGCAGCCGCGCGUUCUGCCGGUCCCGCUCGUCCCGCGCGCGCAGGGCCUCCAGGUGGCUGGCGGCUAGAAAACUCUAAAGCUGAAGAUUAUUCUUUGACUAAGGUUAUGAAGUUUGGAGUAGAAGAGCAGAAAAAUGCAAGUAAAAACUACCAAAAAAAAUGAUAUGGAAGCUUAAGUGCAUAAAAAGAGAAACUGUUUAUGAAGAGGCACUAAAUAAACAAACGUAGAAACAUUCAGAAAGAAGAUGGGGUAUUUCAGACACUACUUGGUAGGACAAGCUGCCACCUGAUGUUUCACAUGAGGAUCCUGAGCACUGAGAAAUGCAGAGAAGAAAGACAGAUGACCCUGAGCACCAUGUUCUUCAACUAGGCGGAGUUAACCUGAAAAUGCCUCAGGAUGUUUAACCUCUGUAAUUUAUUUUAAAAUACUAUAUUUAUUUUAGUUGCUAUUCCAUUAGAUGUUCAAAUCAUUUUCACCUAUCCCAAACAUAUUGUGCAGUGACUCAUCAGACAUCUGUGGCAAGUAAAUAUACACAGUGUAUUUUUAGAGUAGCGAAUAUGUGUGUAUGCAUUUAUAGUAUGAGCAAAAUUAAACCUGAUCUGAAAAAAAGUGAAUUUUUCAGCCCUGACCACUACUGUGCCAUUUCAUCUUUAGAACCUACAUUUCCGUGGUAUAAUUUUCAGAUCAUUUCCCACCUUUAAAUGCCAGAAUUAAUGGGAAAUUGUCUUUUUUCUGUGUACUGCUUUGCUGGAGAGGCCCUUCUGCAAUGAACGUUGAAUGCUGUUAAGCCCUAUUUAUGGCUUUAAUAGCUUUGUAUUAAUGAAAAAAUCAGAUACCCUUUAUAUACCCACCUCAGGGGUUCAUGCAGGAGAUGUUCUAUUGAUGUGAAAGAGUCAAAUUGAUUUCUGCCAAAGAUGAGAAAGUAGUAGAAAGGCUCAAACUGCAUGUGGAUAAUGAAAUGGCUUGUUUUAUCACAAAUAUUCUCUGCACAUGUGUUCCACUUCUUUCGUCUAAUGGCUGACCCCUGCUUUUCCUAAAGCUCAAAUUUUGGUGUCUAAACUGUUAUGUGUGUCAACAGAAAGAGGCAAUGAAGAGGAUCUCAGAACAUUUUAGUGAGAAGAGAGCAAAAUGUAGAAAUAUCAUUUCUGCAUUUUGAUUUAUGUGUUCAAGGUUAUUUGGAUAAUUGGAAAGUUUGCUUUUCAGAUGAGUUAGACUUCCUGGAACAAUUAAUCAGGGUCUUAAUUACUGCAUCUGUAAAAAUGAGGUAAGAUGUGCGAGGCUAAGAACCUUCUAGCAUGGAACUGUAGUUUUUUUCCUCUUCCCUUUAAAGUAUCAGGAAUUUCCAAGCCAUCAACAUUUGCUGAAUCUGGCCAUGCAUAGUCUUCAAAAAUAGUGAAUGUUUCAUUUAUUUUCAAAAUACUUUCCAUUUCAGUAGGUUUCCGUGAAGUGAAAACAUUUACCAUAAUGGAUGAAUUUCAUCAGGGAGCUGCUUUAACAGCGUCCUAAAUGAAUAGAGUAAAAGCAUUGCAAAGAUACAGUCAAAAAGAAGUAAGCUUCUUUUUUAAAAAUGUGCUAAAUUUUAAAGCCUGGCCUUAUGCUGCAAAUUGGACAGUAUCCCAGGUAUUUUGUUAAGAGUGAAUACUGUAGAGAAGUCAGAGACAAAAGAUAGAAUCUGGAGUAGAGUCAGCUGGACUAGACCCAGCUAGACUAGAUACCGUGGUAAAAGCAAGACCACCUUGGCCGGCGGGAGGUGGGGGAUGAGGGGGUGGUGUGGAGGUGGAGGUGGAGUUUACAGAGAAACUGACACACAAGCUGGGAGUCAUGGUGCUGCCAAAGCGAAGCCAAUAUUGAUGAAAGGUGCCUGGGGCAAGACAGAGAAUGCAUGAGCCAGAAACUAGUGACUCAGAUUUAAACAUAAGAUCACAGAUGAAACAGAAGCCAACUCAAGUAAGAAAUAACAGGGAGAAAGUGAUAAAUGCCAGCAAGAGCAUGUGGGUGAAACUAAGUUAGAGACGUCUAUCCUGAUUCAUGAAGCCAGGGAGGAGAUCAAAAUUCAGGCAGCAAGUCAUGUGGCAGUUUGUUUUGAUUCAAAUCUAAGUAGUCAUCGCAAUCAAUGAUUAAAUUAGUCGUUCUCAUCAGUUUGUAUGUAUAGACACUUAAGAAUGCUGGGUACUCCAUAUACAGCUGUAAAAUGAAUAAGGAAGAGCUCUAUUAACUGAUGUGAAGUAAUUUUCUGGAUGUAUUUUUAAGUGCAAAAGGACAUCUAUAGUAUGCUGCUUUUCAUAAAGAAGAGUAAAUCAGAAAAUAUCAAUGUAUAUGCUCAUUUGUGCAAAAAAUAAUUGAGUUAAUAAAAUUCAGAAAUGAAUGGGAUGGGUUACCUACAAGGGUGGCAGGGAAGAGAGUGAGAAGAAUGGGGGACUGGGAGGAGGUUAGAAGAGGAGAAAGGGGGAAAGAGAAACUUUGCUGAGUAUACCUUUAUGUGUAGUUCUGCAUCUUAGAAUCAGAGAGAUAUUUCAUAAACAGAACCAAUAAAUAACUAAACUCAAACUGAAUAUGGGGGAAGGACCAAAAAUGGAAUACAAAAAUAACAAAUGAACCUAACUCUAUUAUCAACGAAUAACAGCCUCACUGAAGGGGGUCAGAGAAAAAUAGGCAUAAGUAGCUACAUAAAAAAAUAUUUUGACAAGAUAUUGUAACGCUAAAGAAAAAAACAACUGUAGACAAAUACAAUACUCCAGUUAGUAAAUUCGAUUUUCACUUGGGUAUAGAUUAGCAAUUCUGAAACUGUCUUAUGUGAAUGUAUUUUAUAGAACUAGAUUGUGGGUAGUAAGACUCAGGUUUCUCACAGCAUAUCAGAGAAAGGAGUUACAACAAAUAAGGAAAGGGGAAGGCUAGAAUGAACUCUCUGAUGUUGGAUUAGGACUAGAAAUGUCAGUUGGAACGCAUGGAUUUUAUUAUAAAUAUUGUGAAUAGAUAAGAAAUCUAUCUAGAUGUGUAUGUAUGUGGGUUACUAUACAUGCAUAUAUUUUCUAGCUGUAUUCACUGAGAAGGCAUACCAGCAAUGGCAUCCCAGUAGCAAUGAGAACACUGUGUGCCUAGAUCUUGAUUUCUAUAAGCAGUUCUCCAAGAGCAACAAAAACACUUGAAAAAAAUGCCUGGUUCUAGGGCUAGGGAUUUACUGGGGAAUUACGAGGUGUGUCUGGAAUAUCUUAGAGUGCUGGAAAGUAAGGAAGUGUUAAAACAAAAAAAGGAUAGGGAUCACAGAAGCCAAACAAAGAAGCCCCAAACAGCCAAAACUGGGAUAAUUUGAAGGAAAAAAACCUAAACAAUGAUAAGCAAUGGAUAAUAGCCCCUCAAAUACAAUAAAUAUCCAUGAGUCUAUGUUGAUAUAAAUAAGUAAUUGAAUGCAUAAACACAUAAAUGGGGUAAAAGAGGCAUCUCUUCCUUACAGUGGAAUUCCAGUUAAUAAAUAUAGGAGGG
Molecule: long non-coding RNA, 6476 nt
Filed under: Equus caballus (horse)
Lineage: Eukaryota; Metazoa; Chordata; Mammalia; Perissodactyla; Equidae
Description: lncRNA (ENSECAG00000057723.1)
Source: RNAcentral